CUCAUGGCAGUAGGAGGUGGAGUGUCCAAGAAGGAGAGGUUGCCAUGGAGCACAAAGGCUAGAGAUCCUGCAGUGGAAAGUUGAGUAGAAGUAUUCGAAGUACAGAUUACAUGUUUCAAACACACUGCAUGUGAUUCAUCUUCAAGAUAAAUCAGAUUUGCAAGAGAAAAAACUAUGGGCUCUCUAUUGGAUCUCAUCUCCUUCUGUACAAGAAAUAGGAAACAUGGAGUGUCCACUUAAUGAAUACUGGGAUUGGCCAUUUGUAAUACUGAUCUUUGUGAAAUACCAGCUUGAUUUUGUGAUGAUGGAGCAGAACUUCGAGUUUAGGAAACUAACUAAACUAAUGUUUAUAGCACCAAUGUCCACCAUAUCCAAAUUAUGGAAAGACCCCAGAUGAAUGGAUGAAGAAGAUGUGGUAUCUCCAUACAAUGGAAUACUACUCAGCAAUAAAAAAUGAAAUCUU
Canis lupus familiaris (dog) is the source of this 463-nucleotide long non-coding RNA. RefSeq lists it as uncharacterized. Lineage: Eukaryota; Metazoa; Chordata; Mammalia; Carnivora; Canidae. The record is from RefSeq and is a predicted model, not a curated record. The transcript has 4 exons.